GGGUAAGGUCAGAACCACUUGACCCUCCAGGCUGAGCAUUAGGUGCUGGGAUUUUUGCAGAGCUGAGACGCUGCUUCUAAACGCAGUGUUAGUGGGGGCUGGCCCAGUAGAACAGCAGAUGGAGAAAGGAGAAGCAGACAAUGGAGCACAGAGAUGGCAAAGUGCAUGUUUACAUGGCCUUUAAAGACAUCUUUGUUCUGCCAAAUCUCACGAGCUAGAGCUCUGGUUACACAAUAACAGCAUGAAGGAGUAUGUCCAGUACCCAGGGAUGCUUGUUGAUCUCCUUCAACCAGUGUUACCUGUAAACACACAAGUACCGAGGCCCUGGCUGGACAAAGCAUGGCGACCAAGAGCUCAGACUACUCAGAAAUAAAGGAUAAUCACACCGCCAGGAACCUGCAGUGUCAUACAGUUUCAAGAAGAUAAAUAUUAGUCAAGAUGGCCCAUGGUAUUAAGAGAGAAGUGAAGUCAAGUGGAUUAAACAUUUUAGAAACAGCCUUACUUUGAGGAAUUAAGAUAGAGUCUGGUUGCCAGUGAAAAUGAUAGUGGAAGGAAAACGUCAACUGCUGGUUAGCCUGGUUAUGCUGUGCUCUGAAAUGUCUUUUGUUAACGUGAUCUCUCUAUUGAGAACUCCAUUACCCUGUGUUUAAAACAAAGGCGCCCCAUUCAAAGCAGGCUAUAAUUGUAGUCUUUCAGCAAAACAGCAUUUACGAAAACAUGCCUUUCAGAACUUGGUACAAUUUAUCACCCCCAUGGUGCAUGACACACAAUUACAUUUGUCACUGCUUUUAUUGGAUAUUACAUGUCAGUAAUGAGUCAUCAGCUCCAGAAGUUAUGAAAGAUGAAUUUUUUACUACUAGAUUUCCGAGUUUGCUCCAAAAAUAAAACUAAAACUCGUGUAUGCCUCAGUAAGGGUAGAAGCUACAUUCGGGAGAAACAUUAAUCCCUGUUUUAGAAAAAUAACGAUGUAUUCCAUUUAUUGACAGCAAGAUGAUUGCCUACAGUGUUUCUCGUUACCUCUAGAUCACAAAUGAGUAAAUCACUAUCAGAUAAACCAAGGUUAAAACUGAGUGUGUUUUAACAUUGUAACAAGGUGCAGCAAUAAAUAAAUAAAUAAAAUCAACAACAACAACAACAAAAACUCUAUCACCAAGAGAGGACUGUUAAUUCAGAGAUUUUUUUUUCCCCUUAGAUUCUGUGAUGUGAUAAGCACGGCAGCUCAGUCAUCGCUGAAAUUAAAUUAGGUUUUAGAAAAUGAAUAUUUCAUUUUUAAGAUCCUGUUGCUUGGAGACCCGGGAAGAAAAGGCUAGUUUAGCCCAAGAUGGGAGUGAUGUUAUGAGGGCCAGCAUUUUCUGCUCCUGGAAACGGCUGGAGAACGCUGAGGAAAAAUUACAUAAGGGAGGCAAAACAAUGAUGAUCGUACAAAUGGGCUCAUUAUAAAUAUGCCACAAUGCAUGUCAUUUCUUCCAAGCUAAAGAAGUCUCUCUCUACCCUUCACCUUUAGUAAUAAGAUUGAAAUUGGGCACAGUAUCAUGAUGCCAUAAACACAAUCUACCUUUUGUUUUAACAGACACAUUUUUUAAAAAGACAAAACAAAUGUAGACUCAGUGGCAAAACAAAACAUGCUUUUCUUUGCAAGGAGGCUCAACAAGUAAUAGAGAUACAGAAACUCAUAUCUAUUAUGUUGGACAAAGCUGCACUCACCUGGCUGCAUUUUAAUCAGCCUCAUAAAAAUUGAAUAUGCUUUGCUUUCAUUGCCAUUGAAGCUAGAGCAGUUUUAAGAGAGCUUCCAUUUGGGGGACAUGGUAGAAUGCUAACUGUUUCCUGAAAGGAAAGCUCAGAAUCUCUUGAGCUUUACCUGGGUACAUGGAUACCCAUGUAAAGAUUACUUUUCCCAGCCUCCCUGGUAGGUAGGUGUGACCAUGUGAAUAUGUUUUGAUCCGUGAGAUGCAGGCAGAAGCCAUGUAUGCAAAUUGCAG
Molecule: long non-coding RNA, 1979 nt
Filed under: Sus scrofa (pig)
Lineage: Eukaryota; Metazoa; Chordata; Mammalia; Artiodactyla; Suidae
Source: RNAcentral